Molecule: transfer RNA, 85 nt
Filed under: Podarcis lilfordi (Lilford's wall lizard)
Lineage: Eukaryota; Metazoa; Chordata; Lepidosauria; Squamata; Lacertidae
Description: tRNA.Lys
Rfam family: tRNA (bases 9-81)
About the family: Transfer RNA (tRNA) molecules are approximately 80 nucleotides in length. Their secondary structure includes four short double-helical elements and three loops (D, anti-codon, and T loops). Further hydrogen bonds mediate the characteristic L-shaped molecular structure. tRNAs have two regions of fundamental functional importance: the anti-codon, which is responsible for specific mRNA codon recognition, and the 3' end, to which the tRNAs corresponding amino acid is attached (by aminoacyl-tRNA synthetases). tRNAs cope with the degeneracy of the genetic code in two manners: having more than one tRNA (with a specific anti-codon) for a particular amino acid; and 'wobble' base-pairing, i.e. permitting non-standard base-pairing at the 3rd anti-codon position.
Source: RNAcentral
UCCCAUAGACUAGGAUAGCUCAGUCAGUAGAGCAUGAGACUCUUAGUCUCAGGGCUGUGAGUUUGAGUCCCACAUUGGGUGGAAA